CACCCCUCCCUCCCUGAGAGCAGGGACUCACUUGCUCACUUGGACUCCAGGCCACUGAUGUCUGUGGCAUCAU
This is a non-coding RNA of Pangasianodon gigas (Mekong giant catfish), 73 nucleotides long. The record is from the annotation of a GenBank genome assembly. NCBI's taxonomy places the organism in Eukaryota, Metazoa, Chordata, Actinopteri, Siluriformes, Pangasiidae.